This 421-nucleotide ribosomal RNA is filed under the name Escherichia coli. RNAcentral's name for it is "bacterial SSU rRNA". It matches the Rfam family "Bacterial small subunit ribosomal RNA", at positions 1 to 418 of the family's 1533-position model. Lineage: Bacteria; Pseudomonadati; Pseudomonadota; Gammaproteobacteria; Enterobacterales; Enterobacteriaceae. The record is from RNAcentral.
AAAUUGAAGAGUUUGAUCAUGGCUCAGAUUGAACGCUGGCGGCAGGCCUAACACAUGCAAGUCGAACGGUAACAGGAAACAGCUUGCUGUUUUGCUGACGAGUGGCGGACGGGUGAGUAAUGUCUGGGAAACUGCCUGAUGGAGGGGGAUAACUACUGGAAACGGUAGCUAAUACCGCAUAACGUCGCAAGACCAAAGAGGGGGACCUUCGGGCCUCUUGCCAUCGGAUGUGCCCAGAUGGGAUUAGCUAGUAGGUGGGGUAACGGCUCACCUAGGCGACGAUCCCUAGCUGGUCUGAGAGGAUGACCAGCCACACUGGAACUGAGACACGGUCCAGACUCCUACGGGAGGCAGCAGUGGGGAAUAUUGCACAAUGGGCGCAAGCCUGAUGCAGCCAUGCCGCGUGUAUGAAGAAGGCCUU